GCGGCCCACUCAGGAUUAGCCAGGACCACUCGGAUAAGCUGGGGACAUACUCAAGAUUAGCGGCGGAUAAACCCACGAUAAGGCUCGCCACUCCUCCAGAACGGGUUAACGUCACCCCGGCCAGCCUCCACCGGAACUCGCUCCGCAACGCAAGUACGGUAAUGAUUCCGUUUGGUGGCUCGCUUGCCCGCGAUGGUAAAGUGUGUCAACAUUGAAGGACUGUGUGGGUAAGCCUGCCUCAGAUUCAGCCGGUUGAAGGGGAGCCAGGACAAGUGCAGAUUUCGACUCGGCAGCUUCAGUGGGGUUCCCUGACGUCCGAUCUGAAUUUGUAUUGCAGGGCCGCGACGCCAACUCAGCGACGAACAUGCAGCACGCGCAGGGCGGCGCAGGGUCCUGACGACUGCGGUGGCGGCACAGGGCCUGGCGGCGGC
RNAcentral lists this long non-coding RNA (431 nucleotides) under Chlamydomonas reinhardtii. Its description in RNAcentral is "long non-coding RNA (CREI_LNC000089)". Lineage: Eukaryota; Viridiplantae; Chlorophyta; Chlorophyceae; Chlamydomonadales; Chlamydomonadaceae. The record is from RNAcentral.